CCUACGGGAGGCAGCAGUAGGGAAUAUUGCUCAAUGGGGGAAACCCUGAAGCAGCAACGCCGCGUGGAGGAUGAAGGUUUUCGGAUUGUAAAAUCCUUUUGUUAGAGAAGAUAAUGACGGUAUCUAACGAAUAAGCACCGGCUAACUCCGUGCCAGCAGCCGCGGUAAUACGGAGGGUGCAAGCGUUACUCGGAAUCAGUGGGCGUAAAGGGCGCGUAGGCGGGAUAGCAAGUCAGAUGUGAAAUCCUAUGGCUUAACCAUAGAACUGCAUUUGAAACUGUUAUUCUAGAGUAUGGGAGAGGUAGGUGGAAUGCUUGGUGUAGGGGUAAAAUCCGUAGAGAUCAAGAGGAAUACUCAUUGCGAAGGCGACCUGCUAGAACAUAACUGACGCUGAUGCGCGAAAGCGUGGGGAGCAAACAGGAUUAGAUACCCGUGUAGUC
Molecule: ribosomal RNA, 440 nt
Filed under: uncultured bacterium
Lineage: Bacteria
Description: partial 16S ribosomal RNA
Rfam family: Bacterial small subunit ribosomal RNA
Source: RNAcentral